RNAcentral lists this ribosomal RNA (402 nucleotides) under bacterium. RNAcentral's name for it is "partial 16S ribosomal RNA". It matches the Rfam family "Bacterial small subunit ribosomal RNA", at positions 355 to 776 of the family's 1533-position model. The record is from RNAcentral.
UGGGGAAUUUUGCACAAUGGGGGAAACCCUGAUGCAGCGACGCCGCGUGAUUUAGAAGGCCUUUGGGUUGUAAAAAUCUUUUCUAUGGGAAGAAAAUGACAGUACCAUAGGAAUAAGGACCGGCUAAUUACGUGCCAGCAGCCGCGGUAAUACGUAAGGUCCGAGCGUUGUCCGGAAUCAUUGGGCGUAAAGGGUACGUAUGCGGGUAAGCAAGUUAGAAGUGAAAUCCUAUAGCUCAACUAUAGUAAGCUUUUAAAACUGCUCAUCUUGGGGUAUGGAAGGGAAAGUGGAAUUCCUAGUGUAGCGGUGAAAUGCGCAGAUGUUAGAAGGAAUACCGGUGGCGAAGGCGACUUUCUGGCCAUAACCUGACGCUGAGGUACGAAAGCGUGGGUAGCAAACAGG